This 188-nucleotide non-coding RNA is filed under the name Tauraco erythrolophus (red-crested turaco). RNAcentral's name for it is "Eukaryotic large subunit ribosomal RNA". It matches the Rfam family "Eukaryotic large subunit ribosomal RNA", at positions 2621 to 2795 of the family's 3401-position model. The record is from Rfam by way of RNAcentral. Lineage: Eukaryota; Metazoa; Chordata; Aves; Musophagiformes; Musophagidae.
UUGCUUGGGAUUGUACACCUGUCAAACCCUACUGCAGGUCUCCUAAGGCCAGCUCAGGGAGGAUGGAAACCUCUCACGGAGGGGAAGCGCAAAAGCUUGCUUGAUCUUGACUUUCAGUACAAAUACAGACUGUGAAAGAGGGGCCUCAUGAUCCUUGUGACUUUUUGAGUUUUGCCCAAAACCCCAAA